RNAcentral lists this unclassified non-coding RNA (702 nucleotides) under Arxiozyma bovina. RNAcentral's name for it is "Kazachstania bovina sequence contains 18S rRNA gene, ITS1, 5.8S rRNA gene, ITS2, 28S rRNA gene". The stretch from base 308 to 461 matches the Rfam family "5.8S ribosomal RNA". Lineage: Eukaryota; Fungi; Ascomycota; Saccharomycetes; Saccharomycetales; Saccharomycetaceae. The record is from RNAcentral.
GAUCAUUAGAGAAAAUAUGAGCGGUCUCGUGGAGAGCCUGCUGGGGGGAGCCACUGUGGGGGAGCGCACACGCCAGCCAGCGCUUAGUUGCGCGGCGGCUGUGGGUGCUCUGCCGGGCGCCCUCUGCGAAGGCGGCUCUGCACAGAGAACAACAUACACACAGUGGAGACACGUAUGCACGUUUUUCUGGGUGCAUUGGUGCUUUGGGCUGGCGACGGCCCAGAGUGCGGCACGCAAAACACAAACAAAAAUGCAGUUGCAAGAAACAGUCAGCAAAAGUAUAAAAAACAUAUACACAAAUAUUCAAAACUUUCAACAACGGAUCUCUUGGUUCUCGCAUCGAUGAAGAACGCAGCGAAAUGCGAUACGUAGUGUGAAUUGCAGAAUUCCGUGAAUCAUCGAAUCUUUGAACGCACAUUGCGCCCCUUGGUAUUCCAGGGGGCAUGCCUGUUUGAGCGUCAUUUCCUUCUCAAACAGCGAUGUUUGGUUGUGAGUGAUACUCGGAAGAGUUAGCUUGAAAAUGCUGGCCGGUGGCUGCAGUGGCCAGGGCUUCUUUUUUCCUGCAUCCUGCCUCGGCGGGGUGGGCUCUGCCGGACGUCUUCGUAGUAGGUUCUGCCAAUUCGGGGACAGCUGGCGGGAGCUGCAAGGAGGGGAGGCCUGUGUUUUGGCUGCAGACAGAGACAGCCGUGGCGAACAGUGUCU